AGGACGAACGCUGGCGGCGUGCUUAACACAUGCAAGUCAAGGGGGCCCAGCAAUGGGCAACCGGCGAACGGGUGCGUAACACGUGAGCAACCUACCGAAAUGUGGGGGAUAGCCGGCCUAACGGCCGAGUAAUACCGCAUACGCUCUCGAUGAGGCAUUUCAUUGAGAGGAAACCUACGGGACAUUUCGAGGGGCUCGCGGCCUAUCAGCUAGUUGGAGAGGUAACGGCUCACCAAGGCAACGACGGGUAGCUGGUCUGAGAGGAUGGCCAGCCACAUUGGGACUGAGAUACGGCCCAGACUCCGUACGGGAGGCAGCAGUGGGAAUCGUUGCGCAAGUGGCCUAACGGCUGACGCAGCGACGCCGCGUGUAGGAUGAAGCGUCGUUCGGAGUAGUAAACUACGUAGUUCGGCCCGG
This 417-nucleotide ribosomal RNA is filed under the name uncultured soil bacterium. Its description in RNAcentral is "bacterial SSU rRNA". It matches the Rfam family "Bacterial small subunit ribosomal RNA", at positions 26 to 447 of the family's 1533-position model. The record is from RNAcentral.